UGGGGGAUAUUGCACAAUGGGCGAAAGCCUGAUGCAGCGACGCCGCGUGGGGGAUGAAGGCUUUCGGGUUGUAAACCUCUUUCGCUAUCGAACAAGGCCCGCUUAGGGUGGGUUGAGGGUAGGUGGAGAAGAAGCGCCGGCUAACUACGUGCCAGCAGCCGCGGUAAUACGUAGGGCGCGAGCGUUUUCCGGAAUUAUUGGGCGUAAAGGGCUUGUAGGCGGCUUGUUGCGCCUGCUGUGAAAACGCGGGGCUUAACUUCGCGAGUGCAGUUGGUACGGGCAGGCUUGAGUGUGGUAGGGGUGACUGGAAUUCCAGGUGUAGCGGUGGAAUGCGCAGAUAUCUGGAGGAACACCGAUGGCGAAGGCAGGUCACUGGGCCAUUACUGACGCUGAGGAGCGAAAGCAUGGGUAGCGAACAGG
This 420-nucleotide ribosomal RNA is filed under the name bacterium. Its description in RNAcentral is "partial 16S ribosomal RNA". It matches the Rfam family "Bacterial small subunit ribosomal RNA", at positions 355 to 776 of the family's 1533-position model. The record is from RNAcentral.